RNAcentral lists this unclassified non-coding RNA (339 nucleotides) under soil metagenome. Its description in RNAcentral is "partial contains 5.8S ribosomal RNA, internal transcribed spacer 2, and large subunit ribosomal RNA". The stretch from base 1 to 120 matches the Rfam family "5.8S ribosomal RNA", at positions 35 to 154 of the family's 154-position model. The record is from RNAcentral.
GAUGAAGAACGUAGCGAAAUGCGAUACGUAGUGUGAAUUGCAGAAUUCAGUGAAUCUUCGAAUCUUUGAACGCACAUUGCACCUCUCGGUAUUCCGGGAGGUAUGCCUGUUCGAGCGUCAUUUGUACCCUCAAGCUCUGCUUGGUGUUGGGUGUUUGUUCCGCCUCUGUGUGUGAACUCGCCUCAAAACAAUUGGCAGCCGGCGUACUUGUUUCGGAGCGCAGCACAUUUUGCGAUCCAGAUCAACGUACAGCGGCAUCCAAGAAGCCUUAUUUAACGCUCUUGACCUCGGAUCAGGUAGGGAUACCCGCUGAACUUAAGCAUAUCAAUAAGCGGAGGA